AUAAUAAUGACGAAGAAGCAAGAACAAAAGCCCCUAGACUCGAUCCUAGUCGAUCGGCUAGAACUAGGCGCGAUCGACCAAUCAACAAGUUAAAACACUAAAUCAACCAAGUCAGCAACAUCAACCAUGGUGAUGAUGGUGAAGUCCUCCUCC
Rhodamnia argentea is the source of this 153-nucleotide long non-coding RNA. RefSeq lists it as uncharacterized. The transcript is spliced from 3 exons. NCBI's taxonomy places the organism in Eukaryota, Viridiplantae, Streptophyta, Magnoliopsida, Myrtales, Myrtaceae. The record is from RefSeq and is a predicted model, not a curated record.